This is a small nuclear RNA of Sorex araneus (European shrew), 104 nucleotides long. The record is from RefSeq and is a predicted model, not a curated record. NCBI's taxonomy places the organism in Eukaryota, Metazoa, Chordata, Mammalia, Eulipotyphla, Soricidae.
GUGCUCGCUGCGGUAGCACAUACACUAAAAUUAGAAUGGUACAGAGAUUAGCACAGUCCCUGCGCAAUAGCCACACGCACAUCCGUGAGGUGUCCCACAUUUUU